Molecule: transfer RNA, 79 nt
Filed under: Stetteria hydrogenophila
Lineage: Archaea; Thermoproteati; Thermoproteota; Thermoprotei; Acidilobales; Acidilobaceae
Also listed under: 12 other names
Description: tRNA-Gly
Rfam family: tRNA
About the family: Transfer RNA (tRNA) molecules are approximately 80 nucleotides in length. Their secondary structure includes four short double-helical elements and three loops (D, anti-codon, and T loops).
Source: RNAcentral
GCGGCCGUCGUCUAGCCUGGACUAGGACGCCGGCCUCCCAAGCCGGCGAUCCCGGGUUCAAAUCCCGGCGGCCGCACCA